RNAcentral lists this ribosomal RNA (376 nucleotides) under uncultured bacterium. Its description in RNAcentral is "bacterial SSU rRNA". It matches the Rfam family "Bacterial small subunit ribosomal RNA", at positions 524 to 898 of the family's 1533-position model. The record is from RNAcentral.
UACGUAGGAGGCAAGCGUUGUCCGGAUUUAUUGGGCGUAAAGCGAGCGCAGGCGGUCUUUUAAGUCUGAUGUGAAAGCCCCCGGCUUAACCGGGGAGGGGCAUUGGAAACUGGGAGACUUGAGUGCAGAAGAGGAAAGCGGAAUUCCAUGUGUAGCGGUGAAAUGCGUAGAUAUAUGGAGGAACACCAGUGGCGAAGGCGGCUUUCUGGGCUGUAACUGACGCUGAGGCUCGAAAGCGUGGGGAGCAAACAGGAUUAGAUACCCUGGUAGUCCACGCCGUAAACGAUGAGUGCUAAGUGUUGGUGUGUUUCCGCCCUUCAGUGCUGCAGCGAACGCAUUAAGCACUCCGCCUGGGGAGUACGACCGCAAGGUUGAA